GACGAACGCUGGCGGCGUGCUUAACACAUGCAAGUCGAACGGAAAGGCCCUGCUUUUGUGGGGUGCUCGAGUGGCGAACGGGUGAGUAACACGUGAGUAACCUGCCCUUGACUUUGGGAUAACUUCAGGAAACUGGGGCUAAUACCGGAUAGGAGCUCCUGCUGCAUGGUGGGGGUUGGAAAGUUUCGGCGGUUGGGGAUGGACUCGCGGCUUAUCAGCUUGUUGGUGGGGUAGUGGCUUACCAAGGCUUUGACGGGUAGCCGGCCUGAGAGGGUGACCGGCGACAUUGGGACUGAGAGACGGCCCAGACUCCUACGGGAGGCAAUAGUGGGGAAUAUUGCACAAUGGGCGGAAGCCUGAUGCAGCAACGCCGCGUGCGGGAUGACGGCCUUCGGGUUGUAAACCGAUUUCGCCUGUGCCGAAGCGAGAGUGACGGUAAUGGGUAAAGAAGCACCGGCUAACUACGUG
This 468-nucleotide ribosomal RNA is filed under the name uncultured bacterium. RNAcentral's name for it is "partial 16S ribosomal RNA". It matches the Rfam family "Bacterial small subunit ribosomal RNA", at positions 28 to 507 of the family's 1533-position model. The record is from RNAcentral.